AGUGAACGCUGGCGGCGUGGCUUAGGCAUGCAAGUCGAACGAGAAAGGCUUCGGCCGAGUAGAGUGGCGAAAGGGUGAGUAAUGCAUAGAUAACCUACCCUCAGGACCGGAAUAACCGCUGGAAACGGCGGCUAAUGCCGGAUGGUCUGGUCGGGCGGCAUCGCCUGUCCAGUAAAUGGUAGCUUCCGGGCUUCUGCCUGAUGAGGGGUCUAUGUCCUAUUAGCUAGNGGUGAGGUAACGGCUCACCAAGGCGACGAUGGGUAGCCGGACUGAGAGGUUGACCGGCCACACUGGGACUGAGACACUGCCCAGACUCCUACGGGAGGCUGCAGUCGAGAAUCUUCCGCAAUGGACGCAAGUCUGGACGGGCGACGCCGCGUGCAGGAUGAAGGCC
This 394-nucleotide ribosomal RNA is filed under the name uncultured bacterium. RNAcentral describes it as "bacterial SSU rRNA". It matches the Rfam family "Bacterial small subunit ribosomal RNA", at positions 29 to 416 of the family's 1533-position model. The record is from RNAcentral.